GACGAACGCUGGCGGCGUGCUUAACACAUGCAAGUCGAACGGACAGGCCCUGCUUUUGUGGGGUGCUCGAUUGCCGAACGGGUGAGUAACACGUGUGUAACCUGCCCUUGACUUUGGGAUAACUUCAGGAAACUGGGGCUAAUACCGGAUAUGAUCUCCUGCUGCAUGUUGGGGGUUUGAGAGUUUCGGCGGUUUGGGAUGGACUCGCGGCUUAUCAGCUUGUUGUGGGGGUAGUGGCUUACCAAGGCUUUGACGGGUAGCCGGCCUGGGAGGGGGACCGGCCACAUGGGGACGGGGAUAAGGCCCAGAAUGGAAUGGGAGGCAGCGGUGGGGAAGAGUACAGAAGGGGCGGAGGGCUGAUGCGACAACGCCGCGUGCGGGAUGAGGGGCUUGGGGUUGGAAACCAAUGUCGCCUGUGACGAAGAGUGAGUGACGGUAAUGGGUAAAGAAGCACCGGCUAACUACGUG
This 468-nucleotide ribosomal RNA is filed under the name uncultured bacterium. Its description in RNAcentral is "partial 16S ribosomal RNA". It matches the Rfam family "Bacterial small subunit ribosomal RNA", at positions 28 to 507 of the family's 1533-position model. The record is from RNAcentral.